GAUCAAGUGAUGAGCAAUUAAAUGCUCCAAUGCUAUGAUUGGAGUUAUUCUCCUAUGAUUCCCAAGUUUGAAGUCUGAUGAUC
Zea mays is the source of this 83-nucleotide non-coding RNA. Lineage: Eukaryota; Viridiplantae; Streptophyta; Magnoliopsida; Poales; Poaceae. The record is from Rfam.